Molecule: ribosomal RNA, 460 nt
Filed under: uncultured bacterium
Lineage: Bacteria
Description: partial 16S ribosomal RNA
Rfam family: Bacterial small subunit ribosomal RNA
Source: RNAcentral
CCUACGGGAGGCAGCAGUGAGGAAUAUUGGUCAAUGGACGUGAGCCUGAACCAGCCAAGUCGCGUGAAGGAUGACUGUUCUAUGGAUCGUAAACCUCUUUUAUAAGGGAAUAAAGUGUUGGACGUGUGCUGUUUUGUAUGUACCUUAUGAAUAAGGAUCGGCUAACUCCGUGCCAGCAGCCGCGGUAAUACGGAGGAUCCGAGCGUUAUCCGGAUUUAUUGGGUUUAAAGGGUGCGUAGGCGGCUUGUUAAGUCAGCGGUGAAAGUUUGCGGCUCAACCGUAAAAUUGCAGUUGAAACUGGCAGUCUUGAGUACAGUGGAGGUAGGCGGAAUUCGUGGUGUAGCGGUGAAAUGCUUAGAUAUCACGCAGAACCCCGAUUGCGAAGGCAGCUCGCUAGGCUAUGACUGACACUGAGGCACGAAAGCGUGGGUAUCAAACAGGAUUAGAUACCCGAGUAGUC